RNAcentral lists this ribosomal RNA (490 nucleotides) under uncultured bacterium. RNAcentral describes it as "bacterial SSU rRNA". It matches the Rfam family "Bacterial small subunit ribosomal RNA", at positions 1040 to 1529 of the family's 1533-position model. The record is from RNAcentral.
GGUGCAUGGUUGUCGUCAGCUCGUGUCGUGAGAUGUUGGGUUAAGUCCCGCAACGAGCGCAACCCUUAAGCUUAGUUGCCAGCAUUAAGUUGGGCACUCUAAGUUGACUGCCGGUGACAAACCGGAGGAAGGUGGGGAUGACGUCAAAUCAUCAUGCCCCUUAUGAUUUGGGCUACACACGUGCUACAAUGGACAAUACAAAGGGCAGCUAAACCGUGAGGUCAUGCAAAUCCCAUAAAGUUGUUCUCAGUUCGGAUUGUAGUCUGCAACUCGACUACAUGAAGCUGGAAUCGCUAGUAAUCGUAGAUCAGCAUGCUACGGUGAAUACGUUCCCGGGUCUUGUACACACCGCCCGUCACACCACGAGAGUCUGUAACACCCGAAGCCGGUGGAGUAACCAUUUAUGGAGCUAGCCGUCGAAGGUGGGACAAAUGAUUGGGGUGAAGUCGUAACAAGGUAGCCGUAUCGGAAGGUGCGGCUGGAUCACCUC